GUACAUACCUGGACGGAGUCUUUGGGUGAUCAAGAAGGCCCAUGACUUAGACUGAUGACUUCCAUUGCACAUAAAGGAAGGGAUUUGGUCUAAGGUCUACCCAUGUUGGUAGUACCUACGUCGUAAUUUGUGGCAGUGAGGGUGUCUUGCGUUCGCGCGGACCCCUC
Small nuclear RNA from Trifolium pratense (red clover), 167 nucleotides. RefSeq annotates it as U1 spliceosomal RNA. The record is from RefSeq and is a predicted model, not a curated record. The transcript has a single exon. NCBI's taxonomy places the organism in Eukaryota, Viridiplantae, Streptophyta, Magnoliopsida, Fabales, Fabaceae.